UGGGCAAGCUUUGCUAGGCUUUGACAGUGAGCUACUCAAAGAAUGCGGAGUCAGAUUUGUUGGACAUCGUUCCAAGCUCCUUAGAGCCAUUAGACAAUUAAAGCAGCAAAGCAGCAGUCAUGAGAUAUGCAGAAAGUGGUGGUGGUUCUAUGCUGGUUACCUCUCUGGUCUUUCAACUCACCCUAUAAAAGAAUCCAAACUUGGGCCCACUCCGACCCAAUCAAGCCAUUCCUCGCCAUGUCCAAACUCCCAAGGACCAUUGACAGA
Molecule: non-coding RNA, 267 nt
Filed under: Gloeochaete wittrockiana
Lineage: Eukaryota; Glaucocystophyceae; Gloeochaetales; Gloeochaetaceae
Source: RNAcentral